Molecule: ribosomal RNA, 3133 nt
Filed under: groundwater metagenome
Description: bacterial LSU rRNA
Rfam family: Bacterial large subunit ribosomal RNA
Source: RNAcentral
UCAAGCUACUAAGGGUGCAUGGGGAAUGCCUAGGCGCCAGGAGGCGAUGAAGGACGUGGCAGGCUGCGAAAAGCUCCGGGGAGCCGCCAAGCAGGUUUUGAUCCGGGGAUGUCCGAAUGGGGGAACCCUCCAUCGUUCAUACGAUGGAAUCCCGUGGCAACGCGGGAAGCGAACGCAGGGAAUUGAAACAUCUUAGUACCUGCAGGAAAAGAAAGAGAAAUCGAUUUCCCGAGUAGCGGCGAGCGAAACGGAAAUAGCCUAAACCGGGUGUGUGCCAAGCCCGUGCGCGUUGCACACUCGGUGUCGUGGGACCAAGCGUUCCGGUGUACGGACCGGGGCCGGAGUCACAAAGCCUACACCUAGUCGAAGUGGUCUGGAAGGGCCAGCCGUAGAGGGUGAUAGCCCCGUAGGCGAAAGGUGGGAGGUCUCCGUUGUUUGGUUCCCAAGUAACACGGGCUAAGAGGAGACCCGUGUGAAUCUGGGCCGACCAUGGCCUAAGGCUGAACACUGCCUGGCGACCGAUAGUGAACUAAGUAGCGCGAGCGAAUGGCGAAAAGAACCCCUGUUAGGGGAGUGAAAAGAACCUGAAACCAUGCACUUACGAACGGUGGGAGGGCUAUGCCCGCAAGGGAAGGCCUGACCGCGUGCCUUUUGCUUAAUGAGCCCGGGACUUAUUGCGUGUCGCAAGCUUAAGCCCUUAUGGGGUGUAGGCGUAGGGAAACCGAGUGUGAAUAGCGCGACCAGUGACACGCCAUAGACCCGAAAGCCAGUGAUCUACCCAUGAGCAGGGUGAACCCUGGGUAACACCGGGGGGAGGCCCGGUAGGGUAUAACGUUGAAAAGUUAUCCUGUGACUUGUGGGUAGGAGCGAAAGACUAAUCAAACUGGCCAAUAGCUGGUUCUCCCCGAAAUAGCUUCAGGGCUAGCGUCGUGUAAUAGUCAUCGGGGGUAGAGCGACUGAAUGGGAUUUGGGGCCCACCAGGCUACCAGUCCCAACCAAACUCCGAAUACCGGUGACCGUAUCACGGCAGUCAGAAAGCGGGGGCUAAGCUUCGUUUUCAAGAGGGAAACAGCCCAGAGCGCCAGAUAAGGCCCCAAAAUCCCGGCUAAGUGCUAAAGGAAGUGAAGUUGCUAAGACAGCUAGGAUGUUGGCUUAGAAGCAGCCACCAUUUAAAAAGUGCGUAAUAGCUUACUAGUCGAGCAACUUCGCGCCACAAAUGAUCGGGCCUCAAGCCGGGUGCCGACGCUGCGUGUUUCGGUGGAGAACACAGAGUUUAGAGCGGCGAGUAUUGACGACGAGAGACGGACCUGUGACGCAGGCGGGGAUAGAGAGUACCUCGCGUUCCGCUGCAGGAGAACUUUGCCGUUGAUACUCGCGCUCUGGAUUCUGUGUUCUCCACCGAAGCGGUAGGGGAGCGUACCAUGCCGGAGCGAAGAUGGAGCGUGAGCACCAUUGGACUGCAUGGUAGUGAUUAUCCGGGCUUGAGUAGCGCAUGAAGAGGAGUGAGAAGCUCCUCCGCCGAAAGCCUAAGGUUUCCUGGGCAAGGUAAUUCCUCCCAGGGUUAGGCGGCCCCUAAGGUGAGGCCGAAAGGCGUAGCUGAUGGGUAACCGGUCAAUAUUCCGGUCCCACCCAGAGGAGGUUAUACCCACAGGAGGGGUGGGGGAGGCUAGGUCGUCCGGACGACUAGAAGUGUCCGGCCAAACCCGUAGGUGGGGAUCCUAGGCAAAUCCGGGGUCCCAGCCGCAAGGCGACACUGAGAGGUGAUGGGGAAGUCAAUUGCGACUGAAGCGACUGAUGCCAUGCCUACGAGAAAAGCUUCGGUGGGAACAAAUCUGGGUGUCCGUACUAAAACCGACACAGGUAGGCGGGGAUAGUAUCCUAAGGCGCUCGAGUGAGGCCUCGUUAAGGAACUAGGCAAAAUGACUCCGUAACUUCGGGACAAGGAGUGCCUCGUCGCGUGUAGGGUCUCGCAUCCGAAGCGUGGUGAGGUCGCAGUUAAUCGGGCCGGGGAACUGUUUAAUAAAAACACAAGUCUGUGCUAAGGCCAAAAAGCCGCUGUAUACAGACUGACGCUUGCCCAAUGCUGGAAGGUUAAGAGGUGGGGUCAGCCGCAAGGUAAAGCUCCUAAUUGAAGCCCCAGUAAAAGGCGGCCGUAACUAUGACGGUCCUAAGGUAGCGAAGUUCCUUGUCGGGUAAGUUCCGACGUGCAUGAAUAGCGUAAUCACUUGGCCGGUGUCUCAACGAGGUCCUCGGCGAAAUAGCAGCGGCGGUGAAGAUACCGCCUGCCCGCAGCAAGACGAAAAGACCCCGUGAACCUUUACUGUAGCCUAGUAUUGAGUCUUGGCUUAAUUUGCGUAGGAUAGGUGGGAGACGUUGAAGGUCGGAUCUCGGUCCGAUCGGAGUCACUAGUGAAAUACCACUCUUGUUAUGUUAGGAUCCUAACCCCGCUCGUGAAUCCGUGCGGGAGACAGUGCUAGGUGGGCAGUUUAACUGGGGCGGUUUCCUCCCAAAGAGUAACGGAGGACUUCCAAGGCUCCCUCAGUGCGGUUGGCAAUCGCACGAUGAGCGCAAGGGUAUAUGGGAGCUUAACUGCGAGACCGAUUAAGUCGAGCAGGUGUGAAAGCAGGACCUAGUGAUCCGGUGGUGCCGGAUGGAAGGGCCAUCGCUCAUGAGACAAAAGGUACUCCGGGGAUAACAGGCUGAUCUCCCCCAAGAGUCCACAUCGACGGGGAGGUUUGGCACCUCGAUGUCGGCUCAUCGCAUCCUGGGGCUGAAGAAGGUCCCAAGGGUUCGGCUGUUCGCCGAUCAAUAGCGGUACGUGAGCUGGGUUUAGACCGGCGUGAGCCAGGUCGGUCUCUAUCUGCUGUGGGUGCAGGAGAUCUGAGAGGAGCUGCUCUUAGUACGAGAGGAUCAGAGUGGACGCACCUCUGGUGUGCCAGCUAUCGCGCUAGCGGUACGCGCUGGGUAGCUACGUGCGGAAGGGAUAACCGCUGAAAGCAUCUAAGCGGGAAGCCCCCCUCAAAACGAGAUCUCCAUGAAGGGUCCGGGAAGACUACCCGGUUGAUAGGCUGGGCGUGUAAGGCCAGUAAUGGCUUCAGCUUACCAGUACUAAUCACCCGGCAAGCUUGACCAC